GAUGAACGCUAGCGGCAGGCCUAAUACAUGCAAGUCGAACGGAAUAUAGUUUUCGGAUUAUAUUUAGUGGCGCACGGGUGAGUAACACGUACAUAACUUACCCUCAAGAGGGGGAUAGCCUUGGGAAACUGAGCGUAAUACCCCAUAGUAUUAUUGAACGGCAUCGUUUGAUAAUUAAAGCUACGGCGCUUGAGGAUAGAUGUGCGUCUGAUUAGCUAGUUGGUAAGGUAACGGCUUACCAAGGCGACGAUCAGUAGGGGGCGGUGAGAGCGUGGCCCCCCACCACGGUACGUGAGACAC
Molecule: ribosomal RNA, 300 nt
Filed under: uncultured bacterium
Lineage: Bacteria
Description: bacterial SSU rRNA
Rfam family: Bacterial small subunit ribosomal RNA
Source: RNAcentral